GAUGAAGAACGUAGCGAAAUGCGAUACGUAAUGUGAAUUGCAAAUGCAGUGAAUCAUCGAGUCUUUGAACGCACAUUGCGCCCCCUGGUAUUCCGGGGGGCAUGCCUGUCCGAGCGUCAUUGCUGCCCUCAAGCACGGCUUGUGUGUUGGGCCCCGUCCUCCGAUCCCGGGGGACGGGCCCGAAAGGCAGCGGCGGCACCGCGUCCGGUCCUCGAGCGUAUGGGGCUUUGUCACCCGCUCUGUAGGCCCGGCCGGCGCUUGCCGAUCAACCCAAAUUUUUAUCCAGGUUGACCUCGGAUCAGGUAGGGAUACCCGCUGAACUUAAGCAUAUCAAUAAGCGGAGGA
This 345-nucleotide unclassified non-coding RNA is filed under the name soil metagenome. RNAcentral's name for it is "partial contains 5.8S ribosomal RNA, internal transcribed spacer 2, and large subunit ribosomal RNA". The stretch from base 1 to 119 matches the Rfam family "5.8S ribosomal RNA", at positions 35 to 154 of the family's 154-position model. The record is from RNAcentral.